UUUCGCCUCCUCUCCUACACCAACCCAACUCCAACCCCGACUCUGUUUAUUUUUUUAAUUUAUUUUUCUCUGCACCUCCUCUUACCUCUCAACCUUCUUGAUUCUCUCUCUCUCUCUCUCUCUCUCUCUCUCUCCAUGUGUCUGUUUCAAUGUUUUCACGGGAAAUUUUGGCUUGGAAAGUUGAUAACUUUGUGCUGCCUGUGGCGAGAUUAGUUUUCCGGGGAGAAAAUGGAAGUUUGGAGCUUCUUUUUUUUUUUUUCCCCUUCCUUUGAACUUCUUGUCCUGAAUUCAUCUCUUCCUUGAGUAUCAUGUGCUAGAAUUUUAUUUCCUAAUCAAAAUUCCUCAUCUGGGUAUCACUAAACUGUUAUCAAUCUUUCUUACUUCAAUUCCUUUUCUAAUCCAAUGGCGCAAGCAGAGAAACCUCUGAACACCCAAAACCACCACCAGCAACAUCAGCACAUGUCUUUGAGCAAUAAUUUCCAUAAAGAUUUUGUGCAAACAUUCAUGCCUGGUAAUCAUUUCAACCACAAAGUUUGUGAAGAAACAGAAGGAGAAGAUGUUGAGUUAAGGCUUGGACUCUCGUUGAAUGGUAGAUUUGGUGUCGACCCAAAAGCUAACAAGCUCACUAGAUCAUCUUCAAUUCCAGAUUUUAUUAACCCAGCAAGAGAUAAUGGCAGUGCUUUUAUGGUAAAUUUGGUGAGUAACAAUCUUGUAAGGACUUGGUCUCUGCCUACAGAGACUGAUGAGGAGUGGAGGAAGAGGAAGGAGCUGCAGAUGCUUAGGAGAAUGGUCCAAAUGGAGGCUAAAAGGAAACGAUCAGAGAAACAAAGGAAUUUGAAGGCACUAAAUGAUAGAAAUAAGGGUUUUGGAGAAGAGAGCUACGAGGAAGAUAAGAGAGAAAAUGGCACCAUUAGCAAGAAUCAUAAGGAGCAGUUUGUCAAGAAUUUCAAUGGGCUGUUUGGAGCUAGUGCAGAAGGGCUUUUACCGCGAGCUCUAGUGACAGUAACAUCAUCUCAAGGGUCGAUUGGAUCACAGGAAAGUGGGUCAUCUGAAUCAGAAUCCGAGAGCCAGCCAGUUCAAGGGAUUUUGCUUCGUAAUGUCAAUCAGCAUGAUCACAAUUUUAUAGCUCUUUAUGUCGGUGAGGCUUUCAAUUUUAAACUGGGCCAACUUGUCAAGGCUCUGCUCUUUAUCAGGGGCAAGAUGGCAGACUUGAAAGGAACAAACAAAUGCAACGAGGCAAGAAGCCUUGUGAGUGUUCAGUCUUUGUCAGAGUGUGACCAGAAAUUGAUGGCUACCCCUAAAUCAACGAUCAGUAAAAAAUCAAGCAGUCAUGAUGGUGUUGCAGUGGAAAAUAGCAGAUGUAGUGAACCUACAGUAGAGAAUGGAGCUAAGGAAAUGGUGAGGAAUUUAAUGGAAGACAUGCCAUGUGUGUCUACAAAGGGAGAUGGCCCCAAUGGAAAAAGAAUCAAAGGUUUUCUCUAUAGGUAUAAGAAAGGCGAGGAGGUGAGGAUAGUGUGUGUUUGCCAUGGAAGCUUUCUCUCACCAGCUGAAUUUGUGAAGCACGCUGGUGGUGGUGAUGUAGCACAUCCCCUUAAGCACAUAGUGGCAAGACUAAUGCCGAACAAAUGAGAGAUCAAAAUGGCCAUCCAGAACAACGAGGAUGUAAUUGGGCUGCAAGUUUGGUCUUAUAAUUAGCGAUUUAAAUUUAAUUCGCAGGCUAUGCUGCCUCCAUCAACGAUUGCCUCAUUGGCUGACCUUGGCUUGCUUCUUUUCGGUCUUGAUUGUGUCCAUACGCUUUUCUCAUUGCUUUUGUUUCUUCUGUGGGUGAGAAAUUUUAUUGCUUUUUGUGUAUAUGAGAAAUAUGUGGGUGAGAAAUUAAUGUCAAAUUUUCUUUCUUUUGAAAAUUGGGUAUUUGAAUAUGUGAGCUUUUGUUA
Hevea brasiliensis (rubber tree) is the source of this 1934-nucleotide RNA transcript. It is a transcript of the gene named ninja-family protein AFP3, with no coding region annotated. NCBI's taxonomy places the organism in Eukaryota, Viridiplantae, Streptophyta, Magnoliopsida, Malpighiales, Euphorbiaceae. The record is from RefSeq and is a predicted model, not a curated record. The transcript has 6 exons.